UGUGAUAAAAUAUUGUGACCUA
RNAcentral lists this non-coding RNA (22 nucleotides) under Rattus norvegicus (Norway rat). The record is from RNAcentral. Lineage: Eukaryota; Metazoa; Chordata; Mammalia; Rodentia; Muridae.